GCAUUUUUUUUCCUCUUGAAGAACUUCACUGAAAAACUGGAAGCUUUUUUAAGAAAGUGAGAAAGGACCUGAAAGAAGAAAGGACAAAAAUGGGAGAGAAUGCCUGAGGAUGGAGAUAAGAUUGUGCAAGAAAGUGGGGGAACAAAGGAGCUCUAUGCGGGAAGAAUACUGAGAAACAUACAUGGCUCCUGAUGUCAGGAUGACAGCUGCAUAGGGGCAUCUGCAGAUGCUGACUGACUCAAGUGGGAGGUUGGAAUGACUACUUCUGAAGAUGACUUGCAUCAUAUUCCAGCUACUUCUGGCAUUUUACUUGAGAGUGUAAUCUGCUUUUUUGC
Molecule: non-coding RNA, 335 nt
Organism: Heterocephalus glaber (naked mole-rat)
Lineage: Eukaryota; Metazoa; Chordata; Mammalia; Rodentia; Bathyergidae
Source: RefSeq, a predicted model, not a curated record